GUGCUACAAUGGGUAGUACAGAGGGUUGCCAAGCCGUAAGGUGGAGCUAAUCCCUUAAAGCUACUCUCAGUUCGGAUUGUAGGCUGAAACUCGCCUACAUGAAGCUGGAGUUACUAGUAAUCGCAGAUCAGAAUGCUGCGGUGAAUGCGUUCCCGGGUCUUGUACACACCGCCCGUCACACCACGGGAGUUGGAGACGCCCGAAGCCGAUUAUCUAACCUUUUGGAAGAAGUCGUCGAAGGUGGAAUCAAUAACUGGGGUGAAGUCGUAACAAGGUAGCCGUAUCGGAAGGUGCGGCUGGAUCACCUCCUUUCUAAGGAGA
This 321-nucleotide ribosomal RNA is filed under the name Clostridioides difficile. Its description in RNAcentral is "partial 16S ribosomal RNA". It matches the Rfam family "Bacterial small subunit ribosomal RNA", at positions 1222 to 1533 of the family's 1533-position model. Lineage: Bacteria; Bacillati; Bacillota; Clostridia; Peptostreptococcales; Peptostreptococcaceae. The record is from RNAcentral.